This 1546-nucleotide long non-coding RNA is filed under the name Dicentrarchus labrax (European seabass). RNAcentral's name for it is "lncRNA (ENSDLAG00005029678.1)". The record is from RNAcentral. Lineage: Eukaryota; Metazoa; Chordata; Actinopteri; Moronidae.
AUGUCAGGUUCAAGCACUAUAAAUAAAGGUAUUGAUGUGGAUUUCCGCUUACUCACAUUUCAGGGGAAUUUUUUUAGCCAUGCUAGGGGUGUGGCUGUAGGCAUGGCAAAGUUGGUCAGUCAGUCCACCACUUUGUUCUAUGACUCAAAAAUGUACAACUGCGUGAUGGACUGCGAUGACAUUUUGCACAGACAUUCAUGCUUGUGACAGUGACAUUUUUAGUAAUGUGACAUAAUUUUUCCCUCAACCCACUUCUUCAAGAGGUUAGAUUACACUAUGGGUUUAAGAAUGAGGGUAGCAUUAGGACUGGGUUGAAGGCUUAUUUAAAUGUUAAAGAUAGUAGUUUUAGUUAUAGUUUUGCAGAUGAACGUAAGGAGUGAGGAAAUACAUUUAUUCAAAAGAAGAUACACAUAAAGACAACAUCUCGGUGUGUAUUAGGGAAGGUUUGUGAAUGUUUGGAUGUGAGGUCCAAAAACAUUUGAAUUAAUUUUGUUAAGUGUUGUAACAACCAUAAAAAUGAGCAAACGAUUCUGAAAAUGCUGAUUAGUCCUUUUAAAAUAAUUUCACAAGACAAAACCAUUAACUAAACUAAAUUGUUCAUCUCCAUCCUUAUUUGAGAUCCAGUUGCAAAAGCAAGGCUGUACAUUUCACCUUUCACCAAACAACUACCAGUUUUUACCACUUUUUUGCACUACUUUGCCUUAUUGCUGCUGUAAAUGGUAAAUGGUAAAUGGACCUGUACUUGUAUUGGGUGGCUGUGGCUCAGAGGCAGAGCGGGUUGUUCCUUAAUCAGAAGACUGUGGGUUCAAUCCCCGGCUCCUGGUGCCCCACGUCAAAGUAUCCUUGAGCAAGAUACUGAACCUCAAAUUGCUCCCGAUGCCGUGCAUCGGUCUGUGAGUUUGUAUGAAUGUUAGUUUCUGUUCAAUGGACUUUGCCAUCACUGAGUGAAUGUGUGUGAAAGGGUCAAUUAGUAGUAGUGUAAAAGUGCUUUGAGUGGUCGGAAGACUAGAAAGGUGCUAUACAAGUACAGGUCCAUUUACCAUUAGAUGGCUAAGAAAUAUCAGAUUGCAUUUCCGUCUGAUGGGAAUAAACAGGCACCAUAGAUGUCGGUUCACUUCUUGGGAACUUCUUGCGUAUUGUUGUGGCUUAGUUGAGGUGUCUUGAAAGCUGAUUGGAAGUGAGAAGAGAGGUGUGUGGCAAAGUUACCGGUAAUAGGAAGUCACCUCCUCUGGGGUCACAUAUCCCUAAAUCCCUGUGAAGGAGGACAAGCAGCAUUGGUUUCCUCUGCAGAGCUGACACAAGACUUCACACAAGAAACACACACUGAGGUAGGGUAACUUACGGGAUAACUGUUCUUGUAUUUAACAGUGCUUUGUAUAUCACGUCAUGUUAAUAUUUUCAGUUAUUACCUAUAUAUAAAAAUUAACCACCCAUAGGUGUUUUUGUUUGAUGCUUUAAGAUCUCAUUUGUUCUGUAAUGGUUCUCACUUUUAUCUUUUCCCCUAAAUAACUGUCUUUUCUGUUACAACCAUCCAACUAGCUGAGAU